CCUACGGGAGGCUGCAGUGGGGAAUAUUGCACAAUGGGGGAAACCCUGAUGCAGCAACGCCGCGUGAGUGAAGAAGUAUUUCUGUAUGUAAAGCUCUAUCAGCAGGGAAGAAGAUGACGGUACUUGAGUAAGAAGCCCCGGCUACCUACGUGCCAGCAGCCGCGGUACCACGUAGGGGGCAAGCGUUAUCCGGAUUUACUGGGUGUAACGGGAGCGUAGACGGUGAGACAAGUCUGAAGUGAAAGCCGGGGGCUCAACCCCGGGACUGCUUUGGAAACUGCCGGACUGGAGUGCGGGAGAGGCAAGCGGAAUGCCUAGUGUAGCGGUGAAAUGCGUAGAUAUUAGGAAGAACACCAGUGGCGAAGGCGGCUUGCUGGACAGUAACUGACGUUGAGGCUCGAAAGCGUGGGGAGCAAACAGGAUUAGAUACCCGAGUAGUC
RNAcentral lists this ribosomal RNA (440 nucleotides) under uncultured bacterium. Its description in RNAcentral is "partial 16S ribosomal RNA". It matches the Rfam family "Bacterial small subunit ribosomal RNA", at positions 338 to 795 of the family's 1533-position model. The record is from RNAcentral.